CCACCGUUGAUAAAUCACCCCAC
This 23-nucleotide non-coding RNA is filed under the name Arabidopsis thaliana (thale cress). Lineage: Eukaryota; Viridiplantae; Streptophyta; Magnoliopsida; Brassicales; Brassicaceae. The record is from RNAcentral.